GAUGAACGCUCGCGGCAGGCCUAAUACAUGCAAGUCGAACGGGUGGUCGCAAGACCCCUAGUGGCGCACGGGUGCGUAACGCGUAACCAACCUGCCCCGAUCUGGGGGAUAGCCCGCCGAAAGGCGGAUUAAUACCGCAUAUACCCGCAGCCUGGCAUCAGGCAACGGGGAAAGAUUUAUUGGAUCGGGAUGGGGUUGCGUGACAUUAGCUAGUUGGCGGGGUAAGGGCCCACCAAGGCGACGAUGUCUAGGGGACCUGAGAGGGUGAUCCCCCACACUGGCACUGAGAUACGGGCCAGACUCCUACGGGAGGCAGCAGUAGGGAAUAUUGGGCAAUGGGCGAGAGCCUGACCCAGCCAUGCCGCGUGCCGGAUGAAGGCCUUCUGGGUUGUAAACGGCUUUUCUCAGGGAAGAAAAAGACCUUGCGAGGUACACUGACGGUACCUGAGGAAUAAGCACCGGCUAACUCCGUG
This 473-nucleotide ribosomal RNA is filed under the name uncultured bacterium. Its description in RNAcentral is "partial 16S ribosomal RNA". It matches the Rfam family "Bacterial small subunit ribosomal RNA", at positions 28 to 507 of the family's 1533-position model. The record is from RNAcentral.